GGCUCAGGGAGAACGCCGGCGGCGUGCCUAACACACGCAAGUUCGAGCGGCAGCGCGAGUAGUUUACUACUUGGCGGCGAGCGGCGGACGGCCGAGUAACGCGCGGGAAUUUGCCCCAAAGUGAGGAAAUAACUCGCCCGAAAGGGUCGGCUAAUGCCGCAUAUGAUCUUCGGAUUUAAAGGAUUUAUCCGCUUUUGGGAGAAACCCGCGUCGGAUUAGGUAGUUUGGUGAGGUAAUGGCUCACCAAGCCGACGAUUCCGUAGCUGGUCUGAGAGGAUGACCAGCCAGACUGGAACUGAGACACGGUCCAGACUCCUACGGGAGGCAGCAGUGAGGAAUCUUCCACAAUGGGCGAAAGCCUGAUGGAGCAACGCCGCGUGCAGGAUGAAGGCCUUCGGGUUUGUAAACUGCUUUUAUAAGUGAGGAAUAUGACGGUAGCUUAUGAAUAAGGAUUCGGCUAACUACGUGCCAGGCAGCCGCGGUCAUACGUAGGAUUCCGAGCGUUAUCCGGAGUGACUGGGCGUAAAGAGUUGCGUAGGGCGGUUUGUUAAGUGAAUAGUGAAAUCUGGUGGCUCAACCAUACAGGCUAUUAUUCAAACUGGCAAACUCGAGAGUGGUAGAGGUCACUGGAAUUUCUUGUGUAGGAGUGAAAUCCGUAGAUAUAAGAAGGAACACCGAUGGCGUAGGCAGGUGACUGGACCAUUUCUGACGCUAAGGCACGAAAGCGUGGGGAGCGAACCGGAUUAGAUACCCGGGUAGUCCACGCCGUAAACGAUGGAUACUGGCUGUUGGAGGUAUCGACCCCUUCAGUAGCGAAGCUAACGCGUUAAGUAUCCCGCCUGUGGAGUACGGUCGCAAGACUAAAACAUAAAGGAAUUGACGGGGACCCGCACAAGCGGUGGAUCGUGUUCUUUAAUUCGAUGCUAAACGAAGAACCUUACCAGGGCUUGACAUCCAGGGAAUUUUUGGGAAACCAAUUAGUGCCUUUUGGAACCCUGUGACAGGUGAUGCAUGGCCGUCGUCAGCUCGUGUCGUGAGAUGUUUGGUUAAGUCCAUCAACGAGCGCAAACCCUUGCAACUAGUUGGAUUUUUCUAGUUGGACUGCUUCGGUAAACGGAGAGGAAGGAGGGGAUGAUGUCAGGUCAGUAUUUCCCUUACGUCCUGGGCUAGAAACACGAUACAAUGGCUAGUACAAAUGCGCAGCAAAAGCCGCGAGGUGGAGCAAAAUCGCAUCAAAAGCUAGUCCCAGUUCGGAUUGGAGGAUGAAACUCGCCUCCAUGAAGUCGGAAAUCGCUAGGAAUCGCAGAUCAAGCGAAGCUGCGGUAAAGACGUUUCCCGGGUCUUUGCACACACCGCCC
RNAcentral lists this ribosomal RNA (1358 nucleotides) under uncultured bacterium. RNAcentral describes it as "16S ribosomal RNA". It matches the Rfam family "Bacterial small subunit ribosomal RNA", at positions 21 to 1395 of the family's 1533-position model. The record is from RNAcentral.